Molecule: long non-coding RNA, 1932 nt
Filed under: Salmo salar (Atlantic salmon)
Lineage: Eukaryota; Metazoa; Chordata; Actinopteri; Salmoniformes; Salmonidae
Description: lncRNA (ENSSSAG00000112035.1)
Source: RNAcentral
CGAAAGGCCUUUUUUUUUAAUUAAAACUGAUGUUCAUUUGAAGUGUUCCUCUGACGACCCAGAGCAGCGACAUGAAUAAGUUAGUACUCUCUGCUUUGCUAAGCAACACAGACUGCAGAAAGAUAUAUUUGCAUGGCGUGCGAAGCCUCCAGAACCUAUCAAAGGGUAAGAGCAGGAGUACAGUGCAGAGGUGUGGGUGGCUGUUCGCUGUUCAUCCUUCCGUGAGACUAUUGACGAAGGCUUAUCAGAUAGAAAACAAGACCGUGUUUACCAAUAGUCUUGCUUGCCAAGCUCAUGACAAGACAGAUUUCGGAAGACACUAGUUUAGCAACUAUACCAGCCUCCUUGUUUUUUUUUUUUUGGGGGGGGCUGUCUGAGGUAAGUGGAGUGCAGAGUGAUCUGACGUGUCAGAGAAAUUGUCUUAUCAGAUGAAACUGAAGAAUUGCCUCCUUGUGGUCUGAGAUUGUCUGAGACUGCCCGAGGAUGUGCAGAGUCAUCUGACAUGUCAGAGAAGUUAUCUUAUCAGAUGAAACUGAAGAAUGGCAUCGUUGUGGUCUGAGAUUGUCUGAGACUGCCCGAGGAUGUGCAUUGAAUUGGCAGGGAACGCAUGACAGACACGGUUGGGAAAUGCUGGUAAAAUAAAACCAACAGCAUUUUCAGAAACAUCAAGAUCACCAGUGUGCUGGAUUUAUCCAUUAUUUUCUGGGAUUGGGAAGACAUGGCUGCAGAGAUGGAGGCAGAGAGGUUGCAUGGUCCUCGAAUGCAUCGUCUGUGUCUGUGGAGGAAGAACAUACACGGUCUCUCCUGCAGGCUGCUGUGCUGCUGCUGCUCCUGUGUGGGAGGAGAGGACAAAGAACUAAUACCAGGCCAGAGCCAGAGAGGGCAGAGCGGGGAGAGGGACACACAGCUAGAGUGGACUUGUCUUGGGGACGACCAGGGGAUCUCAGGGGAGGGAGAGGCCAGUGCUAUCCACAUCACGGUGGAGGAUCUUGGGCUGGCCAACCCUAGCUUCACCCUGACCAAAGAGGAGGUUGCACCAGUCCAGAUGUUCAGUACUUUUAGUCCAUCUUCCAACUCUGUGUCGGCCGUCCGCAGGGCACUGAAGAAGAAAAGAAUGCUGAAGCCUCUGUCCUCCCUUCCUCUCCAGCUGGGAGGAGACCAGCCGGGAGGAGACCAGCCGGGUGGAAAGCAGACAAAGAGGAGAAGCCCAGCCAGCGAGGAGGAGCCUGGGGCAAACCAGAGGAGAAACAUAACAGGCGAAGGGGAGCAGGAUGAGGCAAUGGAGGAGCAGGAGAAGGAGGUGGAGGUAGCGGAGGAGGAGGACUCAAUUCUGUUUGACACACCUGGAGGCUCAGGUACAGGUAGCCUCCUCACCCCACCUGUCAUCAACCUGAUCCCUCCCACUCCCUCUGACGUCCUCGAUGAAGACCAGUUCUUUGAUGACAUCAUCUCGGACGAGGAGAGCGUGGCGCACACGUCUGGGACUGGUAGUGACGGGAGUAGCAACACCGCCGGACACCGGGAAGAAGAGGAAGAGGAGGAGAGGAUGGAGGAUUUGGACCAGGAGCCUGAAGAGGAGGGGAACAAGAGAGACGCGGAAACCCAGGAGAGGCAAGUGGUGGAUGGGAGUAAAGGGUAUCUGGGAGAAUCAGACCAGGAGGUGCUCCUUCAUGCUCCAGUCCCCGAGAGGGAGGGGGAGGUCAGGGUAAAGGCUGCUGAGGAAAAGGAGAGACCCAAGCCCAGCUUCCUCCGUAGUGCCUACCAGGUGGAUCCUCUACCUGAGUACCCCAGGAAGAGGAGCUUCAACUCGAGCGUCAAUCUGCCGUUGUUCACCGAGCACAACCUGGUCAUACUUCAGGUUAUCCAUCUGAAACUUUGCACAUCCACUGCUGCCAUCUUGUGGACACUAUCAGAAUUACAACCAGAGUGAUG